UAUACCCGACGAUAUCCGAAUGGGGAAACCCAGUAUCCAAUGGAUACUAUCAUUAACUGAAUCCAUAGGUUAAUGAGGCGAACCGGGAGAACUGAAACAUCUCAGUACCCCGAGGAAAAGAAAUCAACCGAGAUUCCCCUAGUAGCGGCGAGCGAACGGGGAGCAGCCCAGAGUCUUAAUCAAUAGCAGUGUCAGGAGAACGGUCUGGAAAGUCCGGCAGUAAAGGGUGAUAGCCCCGUAUCUGAAGAUGCUGUUAUUGUGAACUCGACGAGUAGGGCGGGACACGUGUUAUCCUGUCUGAAUAUGGGGGGACCAUCCUCCAAGGCUAAAUACUCCUGAUUGACCGAUAGUGAACCAGUACCGUGAGGGAAAGGCGAAAAGAACCCCGGCGAGGGGAGUGAAAAAGAACCUGAAACCGUGUACGUACAAGCAGUAGGAGCC
RNAcentral lists this ribosomal RNA (441 nucleotides) under Proteus mirabilis. RNAcentral's name for it is "partial 23S ribosomal RNA". It matches the Rfam family "Bacterial large subunit ribosomal RNA", at positions 99 to 581 of the family's 2925-position model. Lineage: Bacteria; Pseudomonadati; Pseudomonadota; Gammaproteobacteria; Enterobacterales; Morganellaceae. RNAcentral also lists the same sequence under 1 other name. The record is from RNAcentral.